CUUGUAGCUGACGACCUCAGGUUGCAGCUGCUGGUUGGUGCUGGGAUGGUUUGAGCAAAGUCUGCGGCUCAUCAACAGCUGGGCUGGUGAUUUGAAGUUGUCAACUGGAGUGUUGCGGUAUUCAAGGAGACUGAGGUGGACUAUCCUUUUGACCCUUUGCAGCCAGGUCCAAUCUACUUUUUAACUCCUCGCAAGUGUGGCUUGUUUGGUGUCUGCUGUGAAGGAAUACCACAACAUGUCAACUACUUGAUUGAUGAAGGCAUGUCAUCCAGCAAAGGCAGCAGUGCAGUCAUCAAUUACUUGCACCAUUUCUUCACCAACUACGGAGUUGGGAAACACGUGUUGACCUGAAUUGUGAUAACUGCAAUGGCCAAAACAAGAACAAGUUUCUGCUCUGUGAAGCGCUAUGAUGAAACUGGCUCUUAUUUCGACCGCCACAGAAAAAGGAAGACCCAGAGUUACCUCUGCUGCAGAGGAUACAAUCAUUAGCAGUACCAGCCUUAGAAAUUGCAGCCCCAAUGAAUGCUUCACAGAGUUCAAGUAACAGACACAUCUCAACAUCAACUGUUCAGAGGAGACUGCAUCAAUCAGGCCUUCAUGGUCGAAUUGCUGCAAAGAAACCACUAGUAAAGGACACCAAUAAGAAGAAGAGACUUGCUUGGGCCAAGAAACACGAGCAAUAGACAUAAGACCGGUGGAAAUCUGUCCUUUGAUCUGAUUAGUCCAAAUUGGAGAUUUUUGGUUCCAACUGCCAUGUCUUUGUGAGACGCAGAGUAGGUGAACGGAUGAACUCCACAUGUGUGGUUACCACCGUGAGGUGUGAUGGUGUGGAGGUGCUUUGCUGGUGACACUGUUGGUGAUUUAUUUAGAAUUCAAGGCACACUUAACCAGCAUGGCUACCACAGCAUUCUGCAGCGAUACGCUAUCCCAUCUGGUUUGGCGCUUAGUGGGACUAUCAUUUGUUUUUCGACAGGACAAUGACCCAACACACCUCCAGGCCCUGUAAAGGAUAUUUGACCAAGAAGUGCCUAACCCAUUCACUAACCUUACGGUGGCUGCUCACCCCUUUCGCCAACCCAUAGAGCGUAGAGAAUAGGAACUACAAUGUGCGCCAUUGCAAGGUACGCGCUGCUGUGGAGUGCACCAUCGGGCUUCUGAAGGGCAGAUUCCUCAGGCAGAAAUAUUUUAUACAAGCGUGAAAAGGUCUGCAACAUUGUGAGGGUGUGUGCUAUGCUACAUAAUGUGGCACAGCUAAGGAAUGUGGCUUUAACCCCUGACGCUGUUGGUUGUGUUGGCCCCGACGCUGACCCCUAUCCCCAGGCGUUUGACCAAACGCAGCUGCCGUGCACCAGCGAGUG
This 1358-nucleotide long non-coding RNA is filed under the name Salmo salar (Atlantic salmon). RNAcentral's name for it is "lncRNA (ENSSSAG00000082806.1, ENSSSAG00000109300.1)". The record is from RNAcentral. Lineage: Eukaryota; Metazoa; Chordata; Actinopteri; Salmoniformes; Salmonidae.